UUUUAAGUGGGACCUUUGCGAAUGCAUCGUGACCCCCCCACUUACCUGGGAGCUUACCUGGUCAACUCAAUUCAUUAGACCGGAUUGGAGGCUUAGGUGCCCUCUUCAAACCAGUUAGGAGCUGUCUAGUGAUUUUAGGGCAAAUACAAGGAUUUGACGUGUUUUUCUUUUAGUGCAUGCUUGACUUGACUGAUCAGAAG
This 200-nucleotide long non-coding RNA is filed under the name Phoenix dactylifera (date palm). RNAcentral's name for it is "long non-coding RNA (PDAC_LNC013362)". The record is from RNAcentral. Lineage: Eukaryota; Viridiplantae; Streptophyta; Magnoliopsida; Arecales; Arecaceae.